RNAcentral lists this ribosomal RNA (498 nucleotides) under uncultured bacterium. Its description in RNAcentral is "partial 16S ribosomal RNA". It matches the Rfam family "Bacterial small subunit ribosomal RNA", at positions 29 to 507 of the family's 1533-position model. The record is from RNAcentral.
AGCGAACGCUGGCGGCGUGCCUAACACAUGCAAGUCGAACGUGAAAAGGGAAACCUGAGUAAAGUGGCGUACGGGUGAGUCACGCGUAGGUAAUCUACCCCAGAAUCUGGAAUAACCUGCCGAAAGGCGGGCUAAUACUGGAUAGAGCGAGGGAACUCGUAAGAGAGUUUUUCGGGAAAGGGAGCCCGCAAGGGCCUUCGUUCUGGGAUGAGCCUGCGUCUCAUUAGCUAGUUGGUAAGGGAACGGCUUACCAAGGCGAUGAUGAGUAGCUGGUCUGAGAGGAUGAUCAGCCACACUGGAACUGAAACACGGUCCAGACUCCUACGGGAGGCAGCAGUGGGGAAGCUUGCGCAAUGGACGAAAGUCUGACGCAGCCACGCCGCGUGAGUGAAGAAGGCCGUCGGGUUGUAAAGCUCUGUCGGAUGGGACGAACAUCUUCAUAGUGAAUAGCUAUGAGGACUGACGGUACCAUCAAAGGAAGCACCGGCUAACUCCGUG